This 405-nucleotide ribosomal RNA is filed under the name uncultured bacterium. Its description in RNAcentral is "partial 16S ribosomal RNA". It matches the Rfam family "Bacterial small subunit ribosomal RNA", at positions 30 to 526 of the family's 1533-position model. The record is from RNAcentral.
AUUGAACGCUAGCGGGAUGCUUUACACAUGCAAGUCGAACGAGUGGCAGACGGGUGAGUAAUAUAGCGGAACGUGCCCAGUAGCGGGGGAUAACUACUCGAAAGAGUGUCUAAUACCUCAUACUAUUGGAGCCGCCUAUAGCGGAUUAUCGUGUUGGUGGGGUAAAGGCUCACCAAGGCAACGAUCCUGAUCUGGUUUGAGAGGACGACAGGCCACACUGGGACUGAGACACGGCCCAGACUCCUACGGGAGGCAGCAGUGGGGAAUUUUGAACAAUGGGGGAAACCCUGAUCCAGCCAUCCCGCGUGUAUGAGAAGGCCAUCGGGUUGUAAAGUACUUUUGGCAGAGAAGCGGUAUCUGCAGAAUAAGCACCGGCUAACUACGUGCCAGCAGCCGCGGUAAUAC